Molecule: ribosomal RNA, 253 nt
Filed under: uncultured bacterium
Lineage: Bacteria
Description: partial 16S ribosomal RNA
Rfam family: Bacterial small subunit ribosomal RNA
Source: RNAcentral
UACGGGGGGGGCAAGCGUUGUUCGGAAUUACUGGGCGUAAAGGGCUCGUAGGUGGCCAACUAAGUCAUACGUGAAAUCCCUCAGCUUAACUGGGGAACUGCGCCUGAUACUGGUUGGCUUGAGUUUGGGAGAGGGACGCGGAAUUCCAGGUGUAGCGGUGAAAUGCGUAGAUAUCAGGAGGAACACCGAUGGCGAAGGCAGGUCUCUGGGCUGACACUGACGCUCAUGCACGAAAGCGUGGGGAGCAAACAGG